AACUCGCCUGCAUGAAGCUGGAAUUGCUAGUAAUCAUAGGUCAGCAUACUAUGGUGAAUACGUUCCCGGGCCUUGUACACACCGCCCGUCACACCAUGAGAGUUGAGAAUACCCGAAGUCCAUGUCAAAGUGGCCGAAGGUAGGCUUGAUGAUUGGGGUGAAGUCGUAACAAGGUAAC
Molecule: ribosomal RNA, 178 nt
Filed under: uncultured bacterium
Lineage: Bacteria
Description: partial 16S ribosomal RNA
Rfam family: Bacterial small subunit ribosomal RNA
Source: RNAcentral